This 253-nucleotide ribosomal RNA is filed under the name uncultured bacterium. Its description in RNAcentral is "partial 16S ribosomal RNA". It matches the Rfam family "Bacterial small subunit ribosomal RNA", at positions 524 to 776 of the family's 1533-position model. The record is from RNAcentral.
UACGGAGGGUGCGAGCGUUGUCCGGAAUCACUGGGCGUAAAGGGCGCGUAGGCGGCCUGAUAAGUAGGGGGUGAAAUCCUGCGGCUUAACCGCAGGGCUGCCUUCUAAACUGUCAGGCUAGAGCACAGUAGAGGCAGGUGGAAUUCACGGUGUAGCGGUGGAAUGCGUAGAGAUCGGGAAGAACAUCAGUGGCGAAGGCGGCCUGCUGGGCUGUUGCUGACGCUGAGGCGCGACAGCGUGGGGAGCAAACAGG